AACGCGAAGAACCUUACCUGGCCUUGACAUGCAUUGUGUCGCCGGUGAAAGCCGGCUAGCGUAGCAAUACGCGCUUUGCACAGGUGCUGCAUGGCUGUCGUCAGCUCGUGUCGUGAGAUGUUGGGUUAAGUCCCGCAACGAGCGCAACCCUUAUCUUCAGUUGCUACCAUUUAGUUGAGCACUCUGACGAAACCGCCUCGGAUAACGGGGAGGAAGGUGGGGAUGACGUCAAGUCCUCAUGGCCUUUAUGUCCAGGGCUACACACGUGCUACAAUGGCCGGUACAAACCGUUGCAAACCCGCGAGGGGGAGCUAAUCGGAAAAAGCCGGCCUCAGUUCGGAUUAGAGUCUGCAACUCGACUCUAUGAAGCUGGAAUCGCUAGUAAUCGCGGAUCAGAAUGCCGCGGUGAAUACGUUCCCGGGCCUUGUACACACCGGUACUA
This 442-nucleotide ribosomal RNA is filed under the name uncultured bacterium. RNAcentral's name for it is "bacterial SSU rRNA". It matches the Rfam family "Bacterial small subunit ribosomal RNA", at positions 958 to 1398 of the family's 1533-position model. The record is from RNAcentral.